Long non-coding RNA from Priapulus caudatus, 473 nucleotides. RefSeq lists it as uncharacterized. The transcript is spliced from 3 exons. NCBI's taxonomy places the organism in Eukaryota, Metazoa, Priapulida, Priapulimorpha, Priapulimorphida, Priapulidae. The record is from RefSeq and is a predicted model, not a curated record.
UGUCUGAGUUGCGAGACUGUCCCAGUGAGUGUAGGCAGAGAUGAACUUGUAUACAAAAAUCUCACAGAGCCGUGUAAGGCGCGAGUGUUUCAGUUCAUCGGUCCACUCCUCUACACGAACACCCGCCUCAAGACACUCCACAGGCUGCAAUAAUCUUGUUACAGGGCGUUCCGCAUAAGUCAUCAAGAAGCAGUAUGAAGAACACUGAUGAAUGGCAGCACCCUUAGCCGACGAUCUACCAUUAAAACGGGUGCAGGAGACGCAGAUGGAGAAGAUUUCACCAUUGUCGGAUUCCGAAAGUGGGCGCCCAGAAGCAACACAUCUAUUCUCUGGUUAUCACAUUGUGAUCGACUGUAGCGCCAUCUGUGAUGUCGACCUGGCCGGGGCGAAGACAUUGAUGGCAGUGGCCCAGGAAUACUCAAAGGUCCAGGUUAUCAUGUUACUCGCCUCUGUUCAAGGUGAGAACCUCAUGA